This is a long non-coding RNA of Podarcis raffonei (Aeolian wall lizard), 610 nucleotides long. RefSeq lists it as uncharacterized. NCBI's taxonomy places the organism in Eukaryota, Metazoa, Chordata, Lepidosauria, Squamata, Lacertidae. The record is from RefSeq and is a predicted model, not a curated record. The transcript has 4 exons.
ACUGAUGUCUUCCUGGUGGUCUAUUGUCUUCCCCAACAGUUUUCCAAUGUUAAGUUCCUUCAGUGGCCAGUUUGCCACCAAAUCGUGAAGAACUUCCCCUUGUUCCUCUGCAGCUGCUGCUGAGGAGCGUACAUGACAUGUAUUUGGAAGGUCUGUCCUGUGGUGGAUGACUCACCUUGUUGAUCUAUUUGUUUGUUUUCAUUUUGUAGGAAGAAGCCUGGUUAAUAACAUCGCCCAUCAUUAACUCCCCUGUGGGGAUGAAUGAGAUAGGGGCAUUGAGGCUGCAGACCUAUGCGCUAUUUCCAAGGGGAAAGUCUCACUGAACGUAGUGGGACUGACUUCGGAAGAGGCAUGCAUGAUGGAAUUGCUCUGCUGAGGACCUCCAGUGCAAGGCAAUCUGCCAUCUGCUAUGUCUCAGUUUCCAAGUGCACACAAUGUCAGCACUCUAGGGCUCUAGUCUUCAACUGGUGGGCCACGAUGUACCAGGUCACAGCCUGAUCUAAGGUGGGUCGCAAAAGCAGUAUAAUUUCAUGUGGAUCGUGCCCUCUUCCCCAUGGGUUAUGAUUUUCAUAACAAAACAUAAACACCAAUACAUUACUAUUAUGCUAUA